RNAcentral lists this long non-coding RNA (1239 nucleotides) under Cricetulus griseus (Chinese hamster). Its description in RNAcentral is "lncRNA (ENSCGRG00015040481.1)". The record is from RNAcentral. Lineage: Eukaryota; Metazoa; Chordata; Mammalia; Rodentia; Cricetidae.
GAAGGAAGUGGGCCCCUUCUCUCUUCCUCCUGGUCUCUGCUCUGGAGUCGUUAUGUGAUCCCCCGGCAAGAGAGGGUGCCAGCUAGCAGAUGAGAAAUCCUAGUCAUUGGCCAAGCAGCAUUUGUACCUAAUAUAAGUCUCUGUAUAUUAUUUGGGGCUCUAACUCGGCAGGCAGAACUCGGGUGGCUGGCAGAAAUCGCCCAUGUGGUGGUAGGGCUUGGGUAGCUUUUGGUGGAAAGAUUUAUCAUAACAGUUUUUCAGAGAAUUUUUUUUUUGCAAAGUUAAGAUAUUCAUAUGAGCAUGAUAUUAACACUAAUAAUUACUAUAUUUUUCCUUUACCUUAUUUAUUUAUUUAUUUAUUUAUUCAUUCAUUGGUUUGUAGAGCAAGGUUUCAUUACAUAGCUGUGUUUAGCCUGGAAUUUGCUAUGUAGAUCAAGCUAGCCUUGAACACACAGAGAUUUCCCUGCCUCUGCCUCUGCCCCUGCCUCUGGAGUGCUGGCUUUAAGCAGUUGGUGGGUAAAAGCAGACAGAAAACAACGAGGGACAGAGCAGAUUUAAGAAAUGUUCUGAACCCAUUUGACCUGAAACUUCUAGUGUUCUUCAACUUCAGAACAUUCAGGUUUUGUCAUCUGCAUUCAGGCUGUUUACCAAGCUAGACCAUAUACAGAGCUGUUGAUGCUCAGUGAGGAAAAGUGCUUGUCAUCGUAGCCUGGUGACCAGAGUUCAGUUCCUGGAACCCAUGUUGAGGUGGAAGAGGGAAACACAGACUUAUCUUCUGACUUUCACUGGCUCAAAGGAAGAAAGAAGGGUUCCAGAGAUCCACUGAGAUGAGAGCUGUAAUAUCACAAAGAAAGUGACUGUGAACAAAGCUCCCAAGAACCUCUAAUAUAGCCCUGAAUGUGCACACAUGAGGCUUCAAACUCCAUCACUUACAAGACUUACAAGGCAGUGAAAGUCAGAAGGUCUGUACCAGGUUGGAGAAACCCACAGAAACAGUUGGCCUGAAAAAGGGAAAGCAUAUCGACCCCAGACGCUCUUUGGGAGGCCAGUACAGGACUAAUCCAGCCCCCUGAUCAUGGAUGCCAAUGGGGAGGCCCCUGCACUCCUGGGAGCCUCCAGAGGUGGACUGGCGUUUUGCCCUGGUGUGUGUGUGUGGGGGGGAAUUCGAGAGCCCAUCCCACUUGAAGGGAUGUGCUUUGUCUCUGAACACAUGGGGAGGGGCCUAGGCCCAGCACAGGA